Molecule: ribosomal RNA, 496 nt
Filed under: uncultured bacterium
Lineage: Bacteria
Description: partial 16S ribosomal RNA
Rfam family: Bacterial small subunit ribosomal RNA
Source: RNAcentral
GAUGAACGCUGGCGGCGUGCCUAAUACAUGCAAGUCGAGCGAACAGACGAGGAGCUUGCUCCUCUGACGUUAGCGGCGGACGGGUGAGUAACACGUGAUAACCUACCUAUAAGACUGGGAUAACUUCGGGAAACCGGAGCUAAUACCGGAUAACAUGUUGAACCGCAUGGUUUAACAGUGAAAGACGGUCUUGCUGUCACUUAUAGAUGGAUCCGCGCCGCAUUAGCUAGUUGGUAAGGUAACGGCUUACCAAGGCAACGAUGCGUAGCCGACCUGAGAGGGUGAUCGGCCACACUGGAACUGAGACACGGUCCAGACUCCUACGGGAGGCAGCAGUAGGGAAUCUUCCGCAAUGGGCGAAAGCCUGACGGAGCAACGCCGCGUGAGUGAAGAAGGUCUUCGGAUCGUAAAACUCUGUUAUUAGGGAAGAACAAAUGUGUAAGUAACUAUGCACGUCUUGACGGUACCUAAUCAGAAAGCCACGGCUAACUACGUG